Molecule: long non-coding RNA, 546 nt
Organism: Brienomyrus brachyistius
Lineage: Eukaryota; Metazoa; Chordata; Actinopteri; Osteoglossiformes; Mormyridae
Exons: 3
Source: RefSeq, a predicted model, not a curated record
GGUGCCCGCCCGCGUGUAGGCAACGAGAGCGCUCAAAGAGAGGAUUACUGCUUGCAGGGGAGCUGAGAGAGAGGAUACAAUUAGAAGCUUGAAAAGCGAAGUUGUGGAUCGUUCUUGGCAGGAAGCAGGAUGACGAACAGCAUACCCCAGGAGAGACAGUGCACAGGGCAAGGAAGAAUCCUGGACAGGAUGUCAGUCCAUCAGAAGGCAUACAGCCAACUGCAAAUGCAUCUUAUGAGAAAUUAGAAGCCAAACCAAUUUGCCCAAAUGCAUGUUUCUGGAGGAAACCGGAGUGGCCCUAGUGCAACGCUAGGAGAGUAUGCAGACUCCUCGGAAACAGGGUGGCGACAACAAUCUGCACCCAGAACUUGGACUUCUGCACAUUCAGGCACACUGACGCACUUUGAAGUAACAUCUGAUACAAUAUUAAAUAUGAUAUUCCGUCAUUUAAUUUUUAUUCUGUGGCAAAGUUAUACUCUAAUUUCAGUGCCGCAUGUCAUACUACAAUGAUCAGCGAUAAGCACGAAAUGAAAAUUGUUAACCUCA